GAAGAAUUCCCGUAGUAGGCUCUUUUUUGAUAGUCACGAAACUGAAAACAGGUUGCGGUAAGGAGAGAAAACUAUGCAACUGAAAACAUGCUAAAGGUGAAGCACACAGCUCCACUAUGCUAGGCCCUGGGGACUUCAGCAAGCUCAUCAAGUUUGUACCAAAAUAAAGCCAAUAUGAAGAAAAUUGAGUACAGCAUGUAAACUAUGACAAGGCUAUUUGCAUCUGGUAAGACAACCAGUGCAGGAAUCAGCGAGCCCUUGCGAUGUGGGAGAUCAACCAGCAUUAGUUUACCAACUAAUUCUUGGUGUCUGCCUCUAUAUGUAGCACGUCUUGGUG
Long non-coding RNA from Physella acuta, 337 nucleotides. RefSeq lists it as uncharacterized. NCBI's taxonomy places the organism in Eukaryota, Metazoa, Mollusca, Gastropoda, Physidae. The record is from RefSeq and is a predicted model, not a curated record.